This 207-nucleotide ribosomal RNA is filed under the name uncultured bacterium. RNAcentral describes it as "partial 16S ribosomal RNA". It matches the Rfam family "Bacterial small subunit ribosomal RNA", at positions 568 to 774 of the family's 1533-position model. The record is from RNAcentral.
AGCGCAGACGGUUAUUUAAGUCUGAAGUGAAAGCCCUCAGCUCAACUGAGGAAUGGCUUUGGAAACUGGAUGACUUGAGUGCAGUAGAGGAAAGUGGAGCUCCAUGUGUAGCGGUGAAAUGCGUAGAUAUAUGGAAGAACACCAGUGGCGAAGGCGGCUUUCUGGACUGUAACUGACGUUGAGGCUCGAAAGUGUGGGUAGCGAACA